GACGAACGCUGGCGGCGUGCUUAACACAUGCAAGUGGAGCGACGAACCGGGGCUUGCCCCGGGGCAGAGCCGCGAACGGGUGAGUAACACGUGGGUAACCUGCCUCAAUGAUUGGGACAACCCGGGGAAACUCGGGCUAAUACCAAAUGUGUUCACUCCUUCUAAGGGGAGUGAGGAAAGGAAGCUUCGGCCUCCGCAUUGAGAUGGGGCCCGCGGCCCAUUAGCUUGUUGGUGAGGUAACGGCUCACCAAGGCUUCGAUGGGUAGCUGGUCUGAGAGGACGAUCAGCCACACUGGGACUGAGACACGGCCCAGACUCCUACGGGAGGCAGCAGUGGGGAAUCUUGCACAAUGCGCGAAAGCGUGAUGCAGCAACGCCGCGUGGGGGAAGACGG
Molecule: ribosomal RNA, 394 nt
Filed under: uncultured bacterium
Lineage: Bacteria
Description: bacterial SSU rRNA
Rfam family: Bacterial small subunit ribosomal RNA
Source: RNAcentral